GAUGAACGCUGGCGGCGUGCCUAACACAUGCAAGUCGAACGGAGUAUUCGGAUGAAGUUUUCGGAUGGAUUUGAGAUACUUAGUGCGGACGGGUGAGUAACGCGUGGGCAACCUGCCCAUACCGGGGGAUAACAGCCGGAAACGGCUGCUAAAACCGCAUACGAUGCAGAAGUCGCAUGACUACUGCAUGAAAUAUUCAUAGGUAUGGGAUGGGCCCGCGUCUGAUUAGCUAGUUGGUGAGGUAACGGCUCACCAAGGCGACGAUCAGUAGCCGGCUUGAGAGAGUGACCGGCCACAUUGGGACUGAGACACGGCCCAAACUCCUACGGGAGGCAGCAGUGGGGAAUAUUGCACAAUGGGGGAAACCCUGAUGCAGCGACGCCGCGUGAGUGAAGAAGUAUUUCGGUAUGUAAAGCUCUAUCAGCAGGGAAGAAGAAAGACGGUACCUGACUAAGAAGCCCCGGCUAACUACGUG
This 475-nucleotide ribosomal RNA is filed under the name uncultured bacterium. RNAcentral's name for it is "bacterial SSU rRNA". It matches the Rfam family "Bacterial small subunit ribosomal RNA", at positions 28 to 507 of the family's 1533-position model. The record is from RNAcentral.